Molecule: ribosomal RNA, 1364 nt
Filed under: uncultured bacterium
Lineage: Bacteria
Description: bacterial SSU rRNA
Rfam family: Bacterial small subunit ribosomal RNA
Source: RNAcentral
AUUGAACGCUGGCGGCAGGCCUAACACAUGCAAGUCGAACGGUAACAGGAAGAAGCUUGCUUCUUUGCUGACGAGUGGCGGACGGGUGAGUAAUGUCUGGGAAACUGCCUGAUGGAGGGGGAUAACUACUGGAAACGGUAGCUAAUACCGCAUAACGUCGCAAGACCAAAGAGGGGGACCUUCGGGCCUCUUGCCAUCGGAUGUGCCCAGAUGGGAUUAGCUAGUAGGUGGGGUAACGGCUCACCUAGGCGACGAUCCCUAGCUGGUCUGAGAGGAUGACCAGCCACACUGGAACUGAGACACGGUCCAGACUCCUACGGGAGGCAGCAGUGGGGAAUAUUGCACAAUGGGCGCAAGCCUGAUGCAGCCAUGCCGCGUGUAUGAAGAAGGCCUUCGGGUUGUAAAGUACUUUCAGCGGGGAGGAAGGGAGUAAAGUUAAUACCUUUGCUCAUUGACGUUACCCGCAGAAGAAGCACCGGCUAACUCCGUGCCAGCAGCCGCGGUAAUACGGAGGGUGCGAGCGUUAAUCGCAAUUACUGGGCGUAAAGCGCACGCAGGCGGUUUGUUAAGUCAGAUGUGAAAUCCCCGGGCUCAACCUGGGAACUGCAUCUGAUACUGGCAAGCUUGAGUCUCGUAGAGGGGGGUAGAAUUCCAGGUGUAGCGGUGAAAUGCGUAGAGAUCUGGAGGAAUACCGGUGGCGAAGGCGGCCCCCUGGACGAAGACUGACGCUCAGGUGCGAAAGCGUGGGGAGUAAACAGGAUUAGAUACCCUGGUAGUCCACGCCGUAAACGAUGUCGACUUGGAGGUUGUGCCCUUGAGGCGUGGCUUCCGGAGCUAACGCGUUAAGUCGACCGCCUGGGGAGUACGGCCGCAAGGUUAAAACUCAAAUGAAUUGGCGGGGGCCCGCACAAGCGGUGGAGCAUGUGGUUUAAUUCGAUGCAACGCGAAGAACCUUACCUGGUCUUGACAUCCACGGAAGUUUUCAGAGAUGAGAAUGUGCCUUCGGGAACCGUGAGACAGGUGCUGCAUGGCUGUCGUCAGCUCGUGUUGUGAAAUGUUGGGUUAAGUCCCGCAACGAGCGCAACCCUUAUCCUUUGUUGCCAGCGGUCCGGCCGGGAACUCAAAGGAGACUGCCAGUGAUAAACUGGAGGAAGGUGGGGAUGACGUCAAGUCAUCAUGGCCCUUACGACCAGGGCUACACACGUGCUACAAUGGCGCAUACAAAGAGAAGCGACCUCGCGAGAGCAAGCGGACCUCAUAAAGUGCGUCGUAGUCCGGAUUGGAGUCUGCAACUCGACUCCAUGAAGUCGGAAUCGCUAGUAAUCGUGGAUCAGAAUGCCACGGUGAAUACGUUCCCGGGCACU